This is a non-coding RNA of Pocillopora verrucosa, 628 nucleotides long. The record is from RefSeq and is a predicted model, not a curated record. Lineage: Eukaryota; Metazoa; Cnidaria; Anthozoa; Scleractinia; Pocilloporidae.
CUGCAUAUUCAGAUGCUGAUUAGAUUUUUGCGGGAAGUGGUUGUGGUAUAAAUACAUUAGAAUUACAAGCGUCGAUUCACUUUAACAAGAAGUGUUCCUCUUUUACAACUUUUCAGAAUUUUAGAGGCGCGACUUCUUCAGCGAUCUCGUUCUCAGUUUACUUACGACAUGGCUGGAAAACUUAUUAUCCUUUGCUUCUUGUUGGCGGUAGUCACAAUUGCAACUUGCAAACCACGAAAUCCUUUUGCAGGUCUUUCCCAGCGAGAUAUUUUGAUGCUCGGAGAGGAAAAGCGCGGUGGCGGUUGUCCAAGGAUGAGUUACUGUUCCACCUCCUCUAAUUGCCAGGGUUCAGUCACCGAUCGAAACGGAGAAGAGGUUGGACUUUUUCUUGUUACCCCUGGAACUUGUGGUUCAGGAUUUAAUACGGUGUGCUGCACGGAGUUCAUGUACUAUGGUGGUCUUUAGAGAGUUCAGGUAGACCAGCCAACACAGCAAGCUGCAAGAAGUCAUAUUUACAUCAAAAAUAGCCAGUCUCUCUUUAGGUGUGAUUAUCAAAUCUUUAAAAGUCUCGAUUCGUUUUUUUUGUAAUUUCAUCAUGAGAGUAUAAUAAAGACUGCAUUAAACUGGA